Molecule: unclassified non-coding RNA, 335 nt
Filed under: Hevea brasiliensis (rubber tree)
Lineage: Eukaryota; Viridiplantae; Streptophyta; Magnoliopsida; Malpighiales; Euphorbiaceae
Source: RNAcentral
GUUAAACCUCAGCUUUUUGGUUUAUCACCUUCUCCUUGAUGAUUAUCCACAUAAAUAGCAAUCAGAAAACAGGGGAAAACAAUUGAUCUCAAAACAAUUAGAUAGCUAGUCACAGUAUAAUUUUGAUAAUAUACAUGAACAUUUACAAUUGUAUGAAUCAAGCUAAGAACUACAAUAAAUAGAGCCCAACUUUCAACAAGUAUUCAUUCCUAAUCAAGCAUUUUCAAAAUCUAUAACCCCCUUACAGAACUUUGCCAAACCUCAACAGAUUGCUGAUCCUUCCUUGUUACAAACAUCUUGCUUCCCCCAAAAGCCAAGUUGGUUAUUCUUGAUCC